This is a ribosomal RNA of Aquila chrysaetos chrysaetos, 120 nucleotides long. Lineage: Eukaryota; Metazoa; Chordata; Aves; Accipitriformes; Accipitridae. The record is from Ensembl.
GCCUACGGCCAUACCACCCUGAGAACGCCCGAUCUCGUCUGAUCUCGGAAGCUAAGCAGGGUUCGGGCCCGGUUAGUACUUGGAUGGGAGACCGCCUGGGAAUACCGGGUGCUGUAGGCU